UUGUAUUUACAGUCACAUUUUGCCUCCAAAUAAAUGAGUAUUUCACACAUAUAUCUAUUUAUCAAAAAAUAGCCAUGCAAUUCUAACCAAGAAUUUUGUUUAUGUUUCUCUAAUCUCAAAAAUCACCUGAUAUAAACAUAUUCAAUAUUUAAAAAGAUUUAAUAAAAAGUGUUGCAGAAAUUAAUUCUAAGAUCAAAAUGCAUUGCACGAUGGGUACAACUUUGCUCUCUAGUGAAACUGUCAGUCAAUCUGGAAGAAAAAUCUAACAAAAUGCAAACUUGACGGAUUCAUAUAAUGGAAGAUUAGAAUUGGAAGAUUUAAGUCUGUCUAAUAUUAGAAUGCCAGUUGUUAUGCAGCCAACAAAUAAUUUUAUAAAAGUUGGAACUACUAGUGUAAAACCCAUUACAAUAUUACGAUGACAAAUUAUGGCACACUUCUUCUAAAUUUAACGCACAAAGACAAGAAUUUCAUUGGUGAAACAUAUAAUGGAUUAGACUUACCUUUGAUAUUAGACAGAUUUUGCAGCGGUGAUAGUAUCAAGGAUGUGAUGUAGCUCGAGUUAGGCGAAGAAGUUUAGGAAAUAUAACAAUAGGGCUGUCAUACAAAUUAUGUUUUGAUUAACAAUAACUUAGUAAUUUGGAAUUUGUCUCAUACAGAAGCUGCAAAUAUUUUAUUUGCUGGAUGACUUUAUAGUCUACACUACAGAAAAACUAUCUUAAUGGCUAUAAAAUGACAAUAGCCACGAGACUAAAUAGAUGCAUUCUGGUUAUGGAAAGUUCAGAUGGAAUUAAUAUCUUGACUAUACAGCUACUAAAAGCUUGGAAUAUAUAUGUAAAUCUUUCCUUACGCAUAUUGCAUUAAAAUUUGUCACAAAUUUUAAUUUAUUUAGAUAAUUAGCACAUGCAGCAAUGAUAUCAUGGAUAUAUUAUAGAGUUUAGAUGCUGAUAUUAUGAUUGACUAAUAGUAAGCAAAAUAGUGCCGACAUAAAAAUUAUUUGGAUCAUAAGUAAUUUUAUAUCAAAUCGAAAUGUUUUGUGCAUUCAUAUAUACAAUAUAGUUAUUAUAUAUGUAUAUUAUAUUUGUAUAUCAGAUAUGACAUAAUCUUAGAUUGCACCAAAGAUCAAAAUAUCCACAUAAUAUUUAUAACAUUAAAAUCGUCUUUAUUGAAAAAUAGACAACUCUUUUAAAUUUGACUAAUGAAACAUUGAAUGGAAGGCAGACUUGAGGCGAGGAAGUUUGGGGAAUAAUUCCAAUAGAAUAUUAAUGCUAUCAUGCAAAUUAUGGUGAUCAACAAUAACUUAGUAAGACAUAUUUUAUUUUUUAUUAUAUUUUAAAUACUAUAAGUAUUAUAAAGCAAA
Molecule: long non-coding RNA, 1357 nt
Organism: Cataglyphis hispanica
Lineage: Eukaryota; Metazoa; Arthropoda; Insecta; Hymenoptera; Formicidae
Exons: 3
Source: RefSeq, a predicted model, not a curated record